This 31-nucleotide non-coding RNA is filed under the name Mus musculus (house mouse). Lineage: Eukaryota; Metazoa; Chordata; Mammalia; Rodentia; Muridae. The record is from RNAcentral.
CUCCUGGUUUUUAAUGUCUGAAGACCAAGGA